UUCAGAGUUGCAGAAACAAGACAUUUCAAGUGUCCUUAGGCUUUCCUCUGUGAAAUCAAACACUUCUCAUAGAAUACCGAGGUUACCAAACUCACAGAGCAUCUCAUUGAAGCAUAUGUUUUUGAACCAAAAGGCCACAGUGCUCAGUCUGAGGUCAGCAAUAGCUGUAACACCCAGCACACCCCAUACAAGAAUGAGCCAGUCACCUUAUAUGAGUCAGUCGUGAGAGACCUUGCUUGUCACUUUAGAUAAUUUUCACAAACAGACCAGUCAAGACCUGUGGAUCCAAUUGUUGGUAUCACUUAGUUGAGCAGAGUUUGCAAACCAGGACUUGAUGGGCCAGAUUGGCCAGCUCCUUAUGUCUCCCAUGUGCUGACGAGACUCCACCAACACUGCUGGUUGUACAUGGAGGUAUUUGGAGGGGCUGCCAGGCUCCCUGCAUCCCAUCAGAUUCCCACCAAAAGGCAUUCAAAGGGAAUUUUAAGCAUCAGGGUUAACCGUGCUCCAAGCAAAAGCAAAGGAAGAAAAAAUAACAUAGCUGUUAAUUGUUUUGAUUUUAAAAUGCAUCUCAUUAUAUGCAAAUUUAGUUGUGUUUCUUUUUUUUUUUUCCAGAGUAGUCAACUUUUGAAUAAAUCACACUGCUCCUGCCACUCACAGUGCUGUCAAGUUACUUGUCAAAAUCAACGUGGUCAGAGUUUCAGCAAAGUGCCUCAGCCGUUUCCUGGAAUGAAACUGGGGGCAGGGGAAGGAGAGGGAAAUGUUGUCAAGGCAACAGUAAUCCCAUUAUUUUCUAACUUCUGAGUGCCUGAGUAGGCAACCUUUAUCUUCUUUCUGUGCCGUUUUUGUACAUAAUAAUAACAGCCACAAUUAUUCUCAUCGGCUUUAAGAAAAGUGAAGCAGGAAUAGCGAAGGGACA
This 916-nucleotide long non-coding RNA is filed under the name Gallus gallus (chicken). Its description in RNAcentral is "lncRNA (ENSGALG00010014129.1)". The record is from RNAcentral. Lineage: Eukaryota; Metazoa; Chordata; Aves; Galliformes; Phasianidae.